GUCGAGGGGUAGAGGAAGCUUGCUUCCUUGAGACCGGCGCACGGGUGCGUAACGCGUAUACAAUCUACCUUUUACAGAGGGAUAGCCCAGAGAAAUCUGGAUUAAUACCUCAUAGUAUUUUCGGAUCGCAUGAUUUGAUUAUUAAAGUUCCAACGGUAAAAGAUGAGUAUGCGUCCCAUUAGCUAGAUGGUAAGGUAACGGCUUACCAUGGCGAUGAUGGGUAGGGGUCCUGAGAGGGAGAUCCCCCACACUGGUACUGAGACACGGACCAGACUCCUACGGGAGGCAGCAGUGAGGAAUAUUGGACAAUGGGCGCAAGCCUGAUCCAGCCAUGCCGCGUGCAGGAAGACGGUCCUAUGGAUUGUAAACUGCUUUUAUACAGGAAGAAACACUCGGACGUGUCCGAACUUGACGGUACUGUAUGAAUAAGCAUCGGCUAACUCCGUGCCAGCAGCCGCGGUAAUACGGAGGAUGCAAGCGUUAUCCGGAAUCAUUGGGUUUAAAGGGUCCGUAGGCGGUUUAAUAAGUCAGUGGUGAAAGCCCAUCGCUCAACGAUGGAACGGCCAUUGAUACUGUUAAACUUGAAUUAUUAGGAAGUAACUAGAAUAUGUAGUGUAGCGGUGAAAUGCUUAGAGAUUACAUGGAAUACCAAUUGCGAAGGCAGGUUACUACUAAUAUAUUGACGCUGAUGGACGAAAGCGUGGGGAGCGAACAGGAUUAGAUACCCUGGUAGUCCACGCCGUAAACGAUGGAUACUAGCUGUUCGGAGCAAUCUGAGU
This 779-nucleotide ribosomal RNA is filed under the name uncultured Bacteroidota bacterium. RNAcentral's name for it is "bacterial SSU rRNA". It matches the Rfam family "Bacterial small subunit ribosomal RNA", at positions 61 to 844 of the family's 1533-position model. The record is from RNAcentral. Lineage: Bacteria; Pseudomonadati; Bacteroidota.